CCCUGGCGGCGAGCGGCGAACGGGUGAGUAAUAUAUCGGAACGUACCCGGCAAUGGGGGAUAACUAGUCGAAAGAUUAGCUAAUACCGCAUAUGCCCUGAGGGGGAAAGUGGGGGAUCGCAAGACCUCACGUUGUCGGAGCGGCCGAUAUCAGAUUAGCUAGUUGGUGGGGUAAAGGCCUACCAAGGCGACGAUCUGUAGCUGGUCUGAGAGGACGACCAGCCACACUGGGACUGAGACACGGCCCAGACUCCUACGGGAGGCAGCAGUGGGGAAUUUUGGACAAUGGGCGAAAGCCUGAUCCAGCCAUUCCGCGUGAGUGAAGAAGGCCUUCGGGUUGUAAAGCUCUUUCGGCAGGAAAGAAAUCGUCGUUCCUAAUACGAGCGAUGGAUGACGGUACCUGAAGAAGAAGCACCGGCUAACUACGUGCCAGCAGCCGCGGUAAUGCGUAGGGUGCGAGCGUUAAUCGGAAUUACUGGGCGUAAAGCGUGCGCAGGCGGUUUUGUAAGUCAGAUGUGAAAGCCCCGGGCUCAACCUGGGAAUGGCGUUUGAAACUGCAAGGCUAGAGUGUGUCAGAGGGGGGUAGAAUUCCACGUGUAGCAGUGAAAU
Molecule: ribosomal RNA, 608 nt
Filed under: uncultured beta proteobacterium
Lineage: Bacteria; Pseudomonadati; Pseudomonadota; Betaproteobacteria
Description: bacterial SSU rRNA
Rfam family: Bacterial small subunit ribosomal RNA
Source: RNAcentral